Molecule: ribosomal RNA, 301 nt
Filed under: uncultured bacterium
Lineage: Bacteria
Description: partial 16S ribosomal RNA
Rfam family: Bacterial small subunit ribosomal RNA
Source: RNAcentral
CAGUCGCCGCGGUAAUACGGAGGGGGCUAGCGUUAAUCGGAUUUACUGGGCGUAAAGGGCACGUAGGUGGUUAUUUAAGUGAGAUGUGAGAGCCCCGGGCUUAACCUGGGAACUGCAUCUUAUACUGGGUAACUGGAGUGCAGUAGAGGGUAGUGGAAUUUCCGGUGUAGCGGUGAAAUGCGUAGAUAUCGGAAGGAACACCAGUGGCGAAGGCGGCUACCUGGACUGAGACUGACACUGAGGCGCGAGAGCGUGGGGAGCAAACAGGAUUAGAGACCCCAGUAGUCCCUGUCUCUUAUAC